This 133-nucleotide ribosomal RNA is filed under the name uncultured bacterium. RNAcentral's name for it is "partial 16S ribosomal RNA". The record is from RNAcentral.
CUUAUGGUACCGUCAUUUCCCCGAUAAUCGGGGCCGUUCUUCCCAUAUAAAAAGCAGUUUACAACCCGUAGGGCCGUCUUCCUGCACGCGGCAUGGCUGGAUCAGGCUUCCGCCCAUUGUCCAAUAUUCCUUA